UACGUAGGGACCGAGCGUUGUCCGGAAUCAUUGGGCGUAAAGAGCGUGUAGGCGGCUAUUUAAGUCCUGCGUGAAAUCCUGCGGCUCAACCGCAGACGGUCGUGGGAAACUGGAUGGCUAGAGUGCGGGAGAGGAGAGUGGAAUUCCCGGUGUAGCGGUGAAAUGCGUAGAUAUCUGGAGGAACACCGGUGGCGAAGGCGGCAUCCUGGACCAACACUGACGCUGAGGAGCGAAAGCCAGGGGAGCAAACGGG
RNAcentral lists this ribosomal RNA (253 nucleotides) under uncultured bacterium. RNAcentral's name for it is "partial 16S ribosomal RNA". It matches the Rfam family "Bacterial small subunit ribosomal RNA", at positions 524 to 776 of the family's 1533-position model. The record is from RNAcentral.